GGGCCUAUGGGUAAGUGGUAUACCGCCGUCUUCGCAUGACGGAGUCGCCAGUUCGAUUCUGGCUGGGUCCACCA
RNAcentral lists this transfer RNA (74 nucleotides) under Candidatus Shapirobacteria bacterium CG03_land_8_20_14_0_80_39_12. RNAcentral describes it as "tRNA-Ala". It matches the Rfam family "tRNA". Rfam says of the family: Transfer RNA (tRNA) molecules are approximately 80 nucleotides in length. Their secondary structure includes four short double-helical elements and three loops (D, anti-codon, and T loops). The record is from RNAcentral. Lineage: Bacteria; Candidatus Shapironibacteriota.